CAAACACAUGCCAAGGGUAAACUGGUCUCUGCAAUCAGGAAUAUUAACAGCAAGAGGAAUCUGCUUGGACAAGUCAAUGAACCCUCAACAUCAGGUGGUGAUAACAGCAGACAACUCUCAAAUCAGACUACUUGUUUCCGGGCCAUUGUUGCAAUAGCUGACACAUCAGAACGUCAGGGAGCCAGGGCAUGGCUGGUGCACGGAAGGACACCUUGGCCCAAAGUAAUUGAGAACUGGAUUUUGACUGCUCCACACCGUUUUCGGACGCAUUUCAUCACUAGUACAUCAGGAUUCGUCAAUGAAUAUAUAAAUUCAUUGCCAAUUCUGAGCCAUAAAUCUGGACACCAAUUGCUUUUGGAAGACUUUAAGCUGCUGUACCCUGGGGCCUCGAGCAGACUGUAUGACGUUUGGGAAAUUUUCGCAGGACGUUAGCUCUUGCUAAGAAAGAGAUCAAGGAUCAAGAAGCUAUUGCCAUUCUCAAAUUGGCCGAAAACAAG
Molecule: long non-coding RNA, 497 nt
Organism: Frankliniella occidentalis (western flower thrips)
Lineage: Eukaryota; Metazoa; Arthropoda; Insecta; Thysanoptera; Thripidae
Exons: 3
Source: RefSeq, a predicted model, not a curated record